GACGAACGCUGGCGGCGUGCCUAAUACAUGCCAGUAGAACGCACAGUUUAUACCGUAGCUUGCUACACCAUAGACUGUGAGUUGCGAACGGGUGAGUAACGCGUAGGUAACCUGCCUGGUAGCGGGGGAUAACUAUUGGAAACGAUAGCUAAUACCGCAUAAUAUUGAUUAUUGCAUGAUAAUUAAUUGAAAGGUGCAAUUGCAUCACUACCAGAUGGACCUGCGUUGUAUUAGCUAGUAGGUGAGGUAACGGCUCACCUAGGCGACGAUACAUAGCCGACCUGGAGGGGUGGUCGGCCACACUGGGACUGAGACACGGCCCAGACUCCUACGGGAGGCAGCAGUAGGGAAUCUUCGGCAAUGGACGAAAGUCUGACCGAGCAACGCCGCGUGAGUGAAGAAGGUUUUCGGAUCGUAAAGCUCUGUUGUAAGAGAAGAACGGGUGUGAGAGUGGAAAGUUCACACUGUGACGGUAGCUUACCAGAAAGGGACGGCUAACUACGUG
This 505-nucleotide ribosomal RNA is filed under the name uncultured bacterium. Its description in RNAcentral is "partial 16S ribosomal RNA". It matches the Rfam family "Bacterial small subunit ribosomal RNA", at positions 28 to 507 of the family's 1533-position model. The record is from RNAcentral.